RNAcentral lists this ribosomal RNA (354 nucleotides) under uncultured bacterium. RNAcentral describes it as "partial 16S ribosomal RNA". It matches the Rfam family "Bacterial small subunit ribosomal RNA", at positions 338 to 703 of the family's 1533-position model. The record is from RNAcentral.
CCUACGGGAGGCAGCAGUCGAGAAUCAUUCACAAUGGGGGAAACCCUGAUGGGGCGACGCCGCGUGGGGGAAUGAAGGUCUGCGGAUGGUAAACCCCUGUCAUGGGGGAGAAAAGUAAAAAGAGAGUACCACAAGAGGAAGAGACGGCUAACUCUGUGCAAGCAGCCGCGGUAAGACAGAGGUCUCAAGCGGUGUUCGGAAUCACUGGGCGUAAAGAGUGCGUAGGCGGUUUCGUAAGUCGUGUGUGAAAGGCGCGGGCUCCACCCGCGGACGGCACAUGAUACUGCGAGACUAGAGUACUGGAGGGGGAACCGGUAUUCUCGGUGUCGCCGUGCACUGCGUCGCUCUCGAGAG